AGGCAAGAUCUUGAGCUG
Molecule: microRNA, 18 nt
Filed under: Tribolium castaneum (red flour beetle)
Lineage: Eukaryota; Metazoa; Arthropoda; Insecta; Coleoptera; Tenebrionidae
Description: tca-miR-3865-5p
Source: miRBase by way of RNAcentral